Molecule: ribosomal RNA, 319 nt
Filed under: uncultured eukaryote
Lineage: Eukaryota
Description: partial 18S ribosomal RNA
Rfam family: Eukaryotic small subunit ribosomal RNA
Source: RNAcentral
CCCUUAGAUGUUCUGGGCAGCACGCGCGCUACAAUGGUCUUCGCAAACGGAUGCAUUCUCGAAGGAGAAUGCCAAUCAUGGAAUCUAUGCCUUGGUCGGGACAGUUGCUUGCAAUUUUUCGACUCGAACCAGGAAUUCCUUGUAAUCGUGAUUCAUCACAUCACGAUGAAUACGUCCCUGCCCUUUGUACACACCGCCCGUCGCUCCUACCGAUCGAAGAGUUAGGUGAAUUGUUUUGAUCGAUAAGAUUUGACUAUGGUCAACUCUCGUUGUGAAAUUCUGUGAAUCUGACUGUUUAGAGGAAGGAAAAGUCGUAACA